This 378-nucleotide RNase P RNA is filed under the name Deltaproteobacteria bacterium. Its description in RNAcentral is "RNase P RNA component class A". It matches the Rfam family "Bacterial RNase P class A". Rfam says of the family: Ribonuclease P (RNase P) is a ubiquitous endoribonuclease, found in archaea, bacteria and eukarya as well as chloroplasts and mitochondria. Its best characterised activity is the generation of mature 5'-ends of tRNAs by cleaving the 5'-leader elements of precursor-tRNAs. Cellular RNase Ps are ribonucleoproteins. Lineage: Bacteria; Pseudomonadati; Myxococcota; Myxococcia. The record is from RNAcentral.
GAAGGAGAUCAGGUAAUCGCUGGUGAUCUGCAUGUGCGGUCACGAGAGGAAAGUCCGGACUCCACAGGGCACGGGUGGUCGCUAACAGCGACCGGGGGUGACCCCAGGGAAAGUGCCACAGAAAACAAACCGCUGUUCUUCACGGGCAGUAAGGGUGAAACGGUGAGGUAAGAGCUCACCAGUUCCCCGGGUGACCGGGGAAGCUUGGUAAACCCCACCCGGAGCAAGACAAAUAGAGGGGCCUAUGGGAUUGCCCGUCCUGCCCCUGGGUAGGUCGCUUGAGGGAGCAGGCAACUGCUCUCCUAGAGGAAUGAUUACCGCCUGGAGCGGGGAAACCUUCUUCAGGAGACAGAACCCGGCUUACGAUCUGCUUCAACC